GUGGGGAAUAUUGCGCAAUGGGCGAAAGCCUGACGCAGCGACGCCGCGUGAGGGAUGAAGGUUUUCGGAUCGUAAACCUCUGUCAGAAGGGAAGAAAGUGCGUGGUGCUAAUCAGCCGCGUAUUGACGGUACCUUCAAAGGAAGCACCGGCUAACUCCGUGCCAGCAGCCGCGGUAAUACGGAGGGUGCGAGCGUUAAUCGGAAUUACUGGGCGUAAAGCGCACGUAGGCUGUUGUGUAAGUCAGGGGUGAAAUCCCACGGCUCAACCGUGGAACUGCCCUUGAUACUGCAUGACUAGAAUCCGGGAGAGGGUGGCGGAAUUCCAGGUGUAGGAGUGAAAUCCGUAGAUAUCUGGAGGAACAUCAGUGGCGAAGGCGGCCACCUGGACCGGUAUUGACGCUGAGGUGCGAAAGUGUGGGGAGCAAACAGG
RNAcentral lists this ribosomal RNA (430 nucleotides) under uncultured bacterium. RNAcentral's name for it is "bacterial SSU rRNA". It matches the Rfam family "Bacterial small subunit ribosomal RNA", at positions 354 to 776 of the family's 1533-position model. The record is from RNAcentral.